GUCUCUAGUCAUGUCACCCUGCAGCCCAAGACUGGUUACUCACUGAAGCUAAGCAGGGCUGAGCCUGGUCAGUACCUGGAUGGGAGACCAAAUGGGUUAAACUAGGUUGCUGUUGGAA
Molecule: ribosomal RNA, 118 nt
Filed under: Danio rerio (zebrafish)
Lineage: Eukaryota; Metazoa; Chordata; Actinopteri; Cypriniformes; Danionidae
Source: RNAcentral